Molecule: ribosomal RNA, 299 nt
Filed under: Ornithonyssus wernecki
Lineage: Eukaryota; Metazoa; Arthropoda; Arachnida; Mesostigmata; Macronyssidae
Description: partial 16S ribosomal RNA
Source: RNAcentral
ACCAUACAAAGGUAUUGUAAUAAGAUUUUAAAUGGGUGCUAAGAGAAUGGAUAAAUAGGGAGAUGCUUUUUUUAAAAAAAAAUUGAGAAUUUAAGUUAAAAAUAAAAAUGUUUUUAUAAGAAUAUUAGACAAGAAGACCCUAAAAUCUUUUAUAAAUUAGUUAUUUUAAUUGGGGCAAUAUAAAAAUAUUAAGAAAUUUUUUAAUGAUAGUUUUUUAAAAGAAAAUAGUUAAGAUACUUUAGGGAUAACAGCGUAAUUAUUUUGGAGAGUUCAUAUUGAUAAAAUAGUUUGCGACCUCG